Molecule: long non-coding RNA, 1021 nt
Organism: Hemicordylus capensis (graceful crag lizard)
Lineage: Eukaryota; Metazoa; Chordata; Lepidosauria; Squamata; Cordylidae
Exons: 2
Source: RefSeq, a predicted model, not a curated record
UAACUAAUUUCAAUUCCUAUGUGCAUUAGGGAUUGCAUUGCAUUGUAUACCUUCUUGUGCUUUAAUCUGUAAUGGUGAGCUGCAGCCAUUAGGAUUUGCUUUGUGCAUUUUCUAGGGCAGGGGCAAGCAACCUUUGGCACUCCAUCUGUUUCUGAACUACAGCUCCCAUCAUCCUUAGCCACAGUUAAUUGUCUACCUCUGGUCUAGGGGAUUUAAGUGGUCUGGUUUGCAUAUGACUUCUGCAAGUGUUUUGUUAUGGAGACCAGUUUGUUUUCUAGUCUUUAGGAUAUGCUUCACACAUGGUCUAUGGGUACUAAAAUUGUCUGAGAACCUAUUUUAAAUCCUUCCCAUUAGCACUUGACUUCCAGUGGGGAAGUGAUUGUGCAUAGUCCUCGGGCCUUGCUUUAUAGUGGGGUUGUGCUUGUGCUGCAGCCUGUACAACUUGUUUUGCAGUGAUUAAGUGGUUGUGCUUAAUCCACUGGAACUUGCUUUGCACUCACUUGUUGAAACACAUUGUAACUUGACACAGAUGUUUGUUUCCACUGCAGAUUCAUACAGUUUGUAGUGUACUGAACUGGAGGAGGAACAGGAGACCAAUGGCAAUGAAGAAGGCCACCAGAGAAAGGCUCAUGAGCCUCCACAAUGACAACAGAGUAGACAGCAUGAUCCCAAGGAGGGAACCUCAGGUGGCACUAAAGAGCUUCUGAAGAGGAUGAUGAGUGUUCUUGUACAACAUCAGUCCUGAAAAGCUCCCCAGUGUCCUACCUGCUUGAUGUGCAGAUUAACACUGAUAGGAUGCAGAGCCAGAGUUUGACCAGGUUCGUGCCCUGUCCAAGGCCCUCUUGCAGCUUAUGCUUCUUCUUGCAAGAAAAGCGGCAGCAGUUGAACACCAACUGGUCUUACUAAGGGAGGAAAAGCAGAGAGUUGAUUAACUGCUUGGGGGGCAAUCACCUUUAAUUAGUUUCCAGUUCCCAUUCUGUUGUUAACAUUGUGUUAUGUGCAAUAAAAGUGUUUGAGAUCA